Long non-coding RNA from Bufo bufo (common toad), 551 nucleotides. RefSeq lists it as uncharacterized. The transcript is spliced from 3 exons. Lineage: Eukaryota; Metazoa; Chordata; Amphibia; Anura; Bufonidae. The record is from RefSeq and is a predicted model, not a curated record.
AAAAUGAGCCCGUUCAUAUAGAUAAAUGCGGAUGUAGGCCCUAAGAAAAUUAGCGUACAGCGAACAUUGUCUAAAUCGGGACAUGGCUGCUAUCCAUGUCUCAAUUGCGUCAACUGUCGCUAUAUAUGCAAAGCUAGAUCCUUCAUACAUCCCUCUACACAUAAAGAAUAUCCCAUCAAGUUCCAUUUAAAUUGUUCAUCUUCUUAUGUAAUAUAUGUGCUAGCAUGCCCGUGUAACCUAAUAUAUAUUGGGGAAACGUCCACAGAAUUAAAACUAAGACUGAACAAUCACAGGAAUUCAAUAAGAAAAAAACGUGCUGAUCUUCCGGUCUCCAGGCAUUUUGGAUCCCUUGGGCACACUGAGCGGGAUCUAAGAUGCUGGAUACUGGACCAUGUCGAACUUCCUAGGAGAGGUGGAGACCGUCUAGCUAUUCUCAAGAAAAGGGAAUUGCGGUGGAUUUAUGAUUUAGAUAGCCUGCACCCCAGAGGAUUAAAUGUAGAGUUCAGAUAGGUGCCUAGUGAUCUGUUGCUUGCCCCCUUUUUCCAUGCAUU